This 227-nucleotide ribosomal RNA is filed under the name uncultured bacterium. Its description in RNAcentral is "partial 16S ribosomal RNA". It matches the Rfam family "Bacterial small subunit ribosomal RNA", at positions 32 to 252 of the family's 1533-position model. The record is from RNAcentral.
AAUCAACGCUGGCGGCGUGCCUCAGACAUGCAAGUCGAACGAUUAAAGCUCUCUUCGGAGAGUGCAUAGAGUGGCGCACGGGUGAGUAACACGUAAGUAAUCUACCUUCGAGUGGGGAAUAACGUCCGGAACGGACGCUAAUACCGCAUAACGCAGCGGCAUCGCAAGAUGACAGUUGUUAAAGAUUUAUCGCCUGAAGAGGAGCUUGCGGCAGAUUAGCUUGUUGG